Molecule: ribosomal RNA, 253 nt
Filed under: uncultured bacterium
Lineage: Bacteria
Description: partial 16S ribosomal RNA
Rfam family: Bacterial small subunit ribosomal RNA
Source: RNAcentral
UACGUAGGUGGCAAGCGUUGUCCGGAUUUACUGGGCGUAAAGCGCGUGUAGGCGGCUCGUUAAGUCUGUCGUGAAAUCUCCCGGCUUAACCGGGAUAGGGCGACGGAUACUGGCGGGCUUGAGGGGAGCAGAGGAAGGUGGAAUUCCCGGUGUAGCGGUGAAAUGCGCAGAUAUCAGGAAGAACACCAAUGGCGAAGGCAGCUCUCUGGGACGGUACUGACGCUGAGACGCGAAAGCGUGGGGAGCGAACAGG